This 446-nucleotide ribosomal RNA is filed under the name uncultured bacterium. RNAcentral's name for it is "partial 16S ribosomal RNA". It matches the Rfam family "Bacterial small subunit ribosomal RNA", at positions 338 to 795 of the family's 1533-position model. The record is from RNAcentral.
CCUACGGGAAGCAGCAGUCGAGAAUCAUUCACAAUGGGGGAAACUCUGACGGUGCGACGCUGCGUGGGGGAAUGAAGGUCUUCGGAUUGUAAACCCCUGUCAUGUGGGAGCAAAUUAAAAAGAGAGUACCUCAAGACGAAGAGACGGCUAACUCUGUGCCAGCAGCCGCGGUAAUACAGAGGGCUCAAGCGUUGUUCGGAAUCACUGGGCGUAAAGCGUGCGUAGGCUGUUUCGUAAGUCGUGUGUGAAAGGCGCGGGCUCAACCCGCGGACGGCACAUGAUACUGCGAGACUAGAGUAAUGGAGGGGGAACCGGAAUUCUCGGUGUAGCAGUGAAAUGCGUAGAUAUCGAGAGGAACACUCGUGGCGAAGGCGGGUUCCUGGACAUUAACUGACGCUGAGGCACGAAGGCCAGGGGAGCGAAAGGGAUUAGAUACCCGUGUAGUC